This 253-nucleotide ribosomal RNA is filed under the name uncultured bacterium. Its description in RNAcentral is "partial 16S ribosomal RNA". It matches the Rfam family "Bacterial small subunit ribosomal RNA", at positions 524 to 776 of the family's 1533-position model. The record is from RNAcentral.
UACGUAGGGGGCGAGCGUUGUCCGGAAUCAUUGGGCGUAAAGAGCGUGUAGGCGGCCGUGUAGGUCUGACGUGAAAUCUGGAGGCUCAACCUCCAGCUGUCGUUGGAAACCGCUCGGCUAGAGUCCGGAAGAGGAGAGUGGAAUUCCUGGUGUAGCGGUGAAAUGCGCAGAUAUCAGGAAGAACACCUAUGGCGAAGGCAGCUCUCUGGGACGGUACUGACGCUGAGACGCGAAAGCGUGGGGAGCGAACAGG